Molecule: ribosomal RNA, 253 nt
Filed under: uncultured bacterium
Lineage: Bacteria
Description: partial 16S ribosomal RNA
Rfam family: Bacterial small subunit ribosomal RNA
Source: RNAcentral
GACGAACCGUGCAAACGUUGUUCGGAAUCACUGGGCUUAAAGGGCGCGUAGGCGGGUGGUUAAGUCAGGGGUGAAAUCCUCCAGCUCAACUGGAGAAUAGCUUUUGAUACUGGCCAUCUUGAGUGGGGUAGGGGCAUGUGGAACUUCCGGUGGAGCGGUGAAAUGCGUUGAUAUCGGAAGGAACGCCGGUGGCGAAAGCGACGUGCUGGACCCUUUCUGACGCUGAGGCGCGAAAGCCAGGGGAGCAAACGGG